AUCUGAACAUUUAGCAAUGCUCUCCAAGAUUACAGGAGGAAAACGUGGCACUUAGCUGGCAAUGUUGCCCCAACAUUGUUUUAAAAAUGAUUUAUAACGGCUGAGUUGUUUACUGAGUCUAGAAAACCAAUGCAGCAAAUUUAGGUGGGAGAAGCUACAAGGGAUAGAAUUAACCCUUUUGGUCUCAGAUUAGGUACAUCUCUUGUGGGACUAUGGCUAACAAAAGCUGAUACUG
Long non-coding RNA from Pan paniscus (pygmy chimpanzee), 235 nucleotides. The record is from Ensembl. NCBI's taxonomy places the organism in Eukaryota, Metazoa, Chordata, Mammalia, Primates, Hominidae.